RNAcentral lists this ribosomal RNA (870 nucleotides) under uncultured Peptococcaceae bacterium. RNAcentral describes it as "bacterial SSU rRNA". It matches the Rfam family "Bacterial small subunit ribosomal RNA", at positions 108 to 988 of the family's 1533-position model. Lineage: Bacteria; Bacillati; Bacillota; Clostridia; Eubacteriales; Peptococcaceae. The record is from RNAcentral.
GAUUGUAACGCGUGGAUAACCUGCCCACUAGACUGGGAUAACGCCGGGAAACCGGUGCUAAUACCGGAUACGUUCACCGGAUUGCAUAACCUGGUGAAGAAAGGUGCAAACCGCUAAUGGAUGGGUCCGCGUCCCAUUAGCUAGUUGGUAGGGUAACGGCCUACCAAGGCCACGAUGGGUAGCCGGCCUGAGAGGGCGACCGGCCACACUGGAACUGAGACACGGUCCAGACUCCUACGGGAGGCAGCAGUGGGGAAUCUUCCGCAAUGGGCGCAAGCCUGACGGAGCAACGCCGCGUGAGUGACGAAGGUCUUCGGAUUGUAAAACUCUGUCCAUAGGGAAGAACCAACUGACGGUACCUUUGGAGGAAGCCCCGGCUAACUACGUGCCAGCAGCCGCGGUAACACGUAGGGGGCGAGCGUUGUCCGGAAUUACUGGGCGUAAAGGGCGUGUAGGCGGCCAAGUAAGUCAGUCGUGAAACCCAGCGGCUUAACCGCUGGCUUGCGAUAGAAACUGUCUGGCUUGAGUGCAGUAGAGGGGAGUGGAAUUCCCAGUGUAGCGGUGAAAUGCGUAGAUAUUGGGAGGAACACCAGUGGCGAAAGCGGCUCCCUGGCCUGCAACUGACGCUGAGGCGCGAAAGCGUGGGUAGCAAACAGGAUUAGAUACCCUGGUAGUCCACGCCGUAAACGAUGGGUGCUAGGUGUUGGGGGUAUCGACCCCCCCAGUGCCGCAGUUAACGCACUAAGCACCCCGCCUGGGGAGUACGGCCGCAAGGCUGAAACUCAAAGGAAUUGACGGGGGCCCGCACAAGCGGUGGAGUAUGUGGUUUAAUUCGACGCAACGCGAAGAACCUUACCAGGUCUUGACAUC